RNAcentral lists this long non-coding RNA (972 nucleotides) under Equus caballus (horse). Its description in RNAcentral is "lncRNA (ENSECAG00000053044.1)". The record is from RNAcentral. Lineage: Eukaryota; Metazoa; Chordata; Mammalia; Perissodactyla; Equidae.
GCCUUCAGAGCCUGGGAAGGCCGAUCUGGGGCUGGAGCCCUGCCAGGGGCCGGCAGCCAGACCCCCCGGGUCUGGUCUGGUGUCCUUGCUGCCAGUGCUGGAGGCUGGAAGUCCACGGUCAACACACCUGGAGAGCUCUCUUCCUGGUUCACGGACGGCACCUUCUGGCUGCGUCCUCACAUGGUGGAAGGGGCGAGGGGGCUCUCUGGGGUCUGUUUCAUUAGGGCGCUGAUCCCAUUCAUGGGGCCUCCACCCUCAUGACCUCAUCACCUCCCAAAGGUCCCGCCAACAAAUACCGUGUGUCUGAGGGUUAGGAUUUCAACACACGAGCUUUGUGGGGGCACAACACUCAGACCACCCAGGAUGUGUAUGCAGGUGGCAUAGCAGGGGCUGGAGGGUGGUCUGUCCAGUCCUACCGUGCAGCCGUCACCCACCUACCCAGCACGAGGCCCGCAGAGUGGGACCCUGCACCCGGACACACCCCCCGCGGCGGUGGGGGAGACCGCCCGGGCACAACAGAGCUCAAGAAUGACCCUAAGCGUGUGAAGAUAGACCUGCCCUACCCAGGACGGUCGCCACGAACUGCAUGUGGCUAUCGGGUGCUUGAAAUGUGCUGGUCCAAAUUGAGAUCUCCCAGGUAUGGACCCCAAAGAAUCGAAAACAGGUGUUCAGAUAAAUUCUCGUGCACGCAUGUACAUAGCAGCAUUAUUCACAAGAGCCCAAAGGUAGAAACAUCCCAGAUGCCCAUCAACAGAUGAACAGAUGAAGAAAACGUGGUGUACAUAUGCAGCGAAAUACGCUCCAGCCAUAAAAGGGAAGGAAGCCCGGAUACAGGCUGCAGCGUGGACGGACCUUGGAAACAUUAUGCUCAGCAAAGGAAACCAGUCUCAGAAGGCCACACAGUGUGUGACCCCAUUUAUGUGAACUGCCCAGAACGGGCAGAUGCAUCAAGACAGAAGCAGACCAGUGGGC